AGAGUUUGAUCCUGGCUCAGAACGAACGCUGGCGGCGUGGAUAAGACAUGCAAGUCGAACGCUGACAUUCAGGUAGCAAUAUUUGGAUGUCGGAGUGGCGCAAGGGUGCGUAACACGUGGGCAAUCUGCCGUGAAGACCGGGAUAACCUGCUGAAAGGCGAGCUAAUACCGGAUGUGAUAAUCGGAAGGCAUCUUCUGAUUCUCAAAGUUGGGGACCGUAAGGCCUGACGCUUCAUGAUGAGCCCGCGGCCUAUCAGCUAGUUGGUGAGGUAACGGCUCACCAAGGCUAAGACGGGUAGCUGGUCUGAGAGGACGACCAGCCACACUGGAACUGAGACACGGUCCAGACACCUACGGGUGGCAGCAGUCGAGAAUUUUUCUCAAUGGGCGAAAGCCUGAAGGAGCGACGCCGCGUGGGGGAUGAAUGGCUUCGGCCCGUAAACCCCUGUCAUUUGCGAACAAACCUAUUCACUUAACACGUGAAGAGCUGAUUGUAGCGAAAGAGGAAGGGACGGCUAACUCUGUGCCAGCAGCCGCGGUAAUACAGAGGUCCCAAGCGUUGUUCGGAUUUACUGGGCGUAAAGGGUGCGUAGGUGGUGAGGUAAGUCUUAUGUGAAAGCUCGGAGCUUAACUCCGAAAUGGCAUAGGAAACUACCUUGCUCGAGGGUUGGAGGGGGGACUGGAAUACUUGGUGUAGCAGUGAAAUGCGUAGAUAUCAAGUGGAACACCAGUGGCGAAGGCGAGUCCCUGGACAACUCCUGACACUGAGGCACGAAAGCUAGGGGAGCAAACGGGAUUAGAUACCCUAGUAGUCC
RNAcentral lists this ribosomal RNA (815 nucleotides) under uncultured bacterium. RNAcentral describes it as "bacterial SSU rRNA". It matches the Rfam family "Bacterial small subunit ribosomal RNA", at positions 8 to 796 of the family's 1533-position model. The record is from RNAcentral.